This 31790-nucleotide long non-coding RNA is filed under the name Brachypodium distachyon (stiff brome). RNAcentral's name for it is "long non-coding RNA (BDIS_LNC005665)". The stretch from base 152 to 223 matches the Rfam family "tRNA". The record is from RNAcentral. Lineage: Eukaryota; Viridiplantae; Streptophyta; Magnoliopsida; Poales; Poaceae.
ACCCUUUGUUUCUAUUAGAGUCGCGAGCUUGUUGUAGUCGGUCCUAAAGGGAAAACCUUGCUGCUUACUCGCUAUAUCCCCGCGUCCUUGCACGGCUCGUUUUCUUUGAGCCCUGCUUCUCCCUUCCCCCUCUCCCCUGGAACCGACCGUUUGGAGUAUAGCCAAGUGGUAAGGCAUCGGUUUUUGGUACCGGCAUGCAAAGGUUCGAAUCCUUUUACUCUAGAGCAUACUUAUUAUAGAAAAUCGAAAAAGAAAAAGAAAGUAUCAUCCCUAAUAAAUAAAUGAAAGUAGAUUUACAUUCUUUUUUUAUUUCUAGGGGGAAUGUUGAGGCAAACUUACGAUGCUGACAAGCUGAUUAGGUGCCGAGUUGGAUUAGACAUCGCAGGUUUCAGUUUAAGAAUUGAGAAGAGGUUAAGAACCUAGUUGAAUCCACUGCGAGGGGAAGUGCUGAAGUGAAGAAAAGCCCCAAUUUUGGAGAGGAUUGCAUAAUUGGAGAGACUGCAAGAAUUAGAGCAAAGCCGUGAUCUGGUAGGCGACUGGUACAAGUGCUAGACUGGAGCUAGACAAGAAGCGUUGAGCAGGAACUUGAGCAAUUCAAGAAACCUUAGAAGAAACUGGAUAUGUGGCAACAAGAAGGGCUUAGCAAGAAUCUUGAAACAGGUAUGAUACCGGCACAUAUCAGCCUGAUGUGAUGUACCUGAAUUCAUUCAUGUUCUGUGGAGUCUUUUGUUUUUUUAAUAUUCUGAUUUAGUCUCAGUUUAAUUAGGAAGCGAAUGCGGUUUCAAGAUGAACUCAACCUCGAAAAGGAAUUCAAUUAGCUGUGCAGUUAGCCCUUUUAUCUCUCAUAAUUGGUGGAAAUGGAUAUUGCCUGUCACUUGAAAAUAAGGUUGUUUCAUUUAGAAUUCAGCAAAUUCUAAAAUUGUUGUUAAACAGGUUGACGUUCCACUGGGAAUGGAAUAACUAAGGCUUUUGGCAGUUUGUGGAUCGAGAUGUGAUUCGCUUUUUGAGUAAUAGUUUCUUUCAUUUGGUGUGCUCUUCCUGGAACCGGUAAUAGGCUCGGUGCAUUCUACUUUGCUGUUAUGGUAUUUACAAUCCUUGAAUUGUUUGAACCUGAUUCUCAUUAAUGGUCACUAUAUUUGCUCCCAAAUGCGCUUAUUUUGAUUGUCUUUCUGGUAUUUGGAUUCUAUUUAUUUCAACCACCAACACUCAUAUUCUUAGCUCUUUUUUCUUCUUGGGAUUUGGCUAGAAAUACUGUAACAACACACACUCAUACACACAGAGUCACAUAGAGGCCAGGACUAAUCUGUCUUCAUGGUCUGGAGGGUAUUUGGGAUAUCGUGGAGGUAACUGACGAUGAAUUCGUCUCUUGCCUCACCGAUCUGAACACGGAGUUUCCGAAGCUACAAGAGUGCUUGGUUAAACGGUGCCAUUAAGUUUAAACUGUCUUUAAACUUACUACUUCAAGUGCAAUUAUCAACUCCUUGCAAAAUUGUUGGCUUUCUCAUCUACAAAAGGCAACUCUGGUAUUCAAGGAAACAGAUAAUUAGGUUCCACUCACUACGUCAACUAAAGCAACUGCAUCUGGAGAACUUACCAGGGAAAAUAGAAGAAAUAAUGACGUAGUACGAGGGGAUUUUUUGCUAACUAUUUCCAUCCUGUGUUCAGUUCCAAUUUCGUAGUAGGAGACAGACUAAAAGUCAAUAGAUUCCUGUCCUUUUCUAUAGAAAUAGGCUUGGUCAAGUGCUUAAAAAAGAGGUGAUCCGAAUGAUUUCAAUGAAUUGCUAUUGGUCAGAUUGGAACAAUUGGAUUCGAAAGGAAAGAAAGACUGUGAACGAAGAGGGCCGCCCAUGAUCGAUUGGAUUCGGCAAAUAAAGUAGAGGGCCUGCCCGUGUCACCACCAGUCCACCGAACCAGCUGCAGAUCGCUAACUCUCUCGUCGACGCCCGGAACUUAUGUACGAGUUAAGAAUGAAUUGUUCCCGAGUAGAGAGGGCAGGAUAAGGAUUCAGUAAGAAGGAGAGUCUACUUAUGGAAAUGCCAUCCUCUCUUUCCUCAGUAACGGAGUGACUAGCUACCCCGACUUUUUAUUCCAGUUCCAUUCUUACUGGUGCAAGAGUCCAAAGUGCAUCUUCCAACUCCCUAACUGCGUCUUCCAUGAAGUUCGGGAGACCCCUCACGUGUGCCGCUGCCCGUGAGACUCGCCUUUGUACACUUUGCGCACCGCUUCGACUAGACCCCGCUACUACCUCGUAUCCAAGUAUCUGCGAUCUAGCUCAUUCUUUUUUAAGCCCUGCAAGCCUAAUAGAACCUUGUUUCCUGGGCCAGGUCAGCCUAUAAGUAAGUAAGUAGGGCUGAAGACAAUUUGUUUGUUAGUUUUUCAAUCUUCUUCCUUCUAUGCUUAGAGUAAGUGGAAAUGACCUCCUUGGUCAGCAAGUAAGCGAGCGGUAGUUCGGUCUCCGACAAGUGAGGCCGAAUAGCCCCCGGUGUCCUUUUCCUUCUAAACUAGCUGCUCUCGCUUGACUCUUCUAGUGAGCAAGCAAACUGGUCGGGGAACAGGGUCGGAUCAAAGUAAGGAAUGGGAAUAGCACUCACUUGUUGAAGGUAAGCCAGAAACAGGGGUUGUCCUCUCCCUUAAGUCCUAGUCCAUCUUUUCGUGCCCCAAAGGGGAAGUCAAGCAAUAAUGAGGGAACUUGACCCACACCUGACGAAAGAGUUUGGUAGCUCGAAGGAAGCAGAAGCAAAACCUGCUUUCUUUCUGUCCCAACCUCCAAGGGUUGCUCCCUGUAUGACAUAGUCCAUUGGAUUGGGGCAAUGGUACGCACCUAUGUUUGGUGUCCCCUCUCUCACUUCCUCGUCAGAUCCUGGUCCCAAAGGGCAAUACAUUGAGUCGGAAAGACGGGCUUUCGUAAAUUCCAUUCUGUAGCCGAACUAGCCCCUGGAUCAGCUCUCAUAGUGGGGGAAUCAGAGUCAAGUUAGGCGCAGGGGUUAACAUCAUUCGUCGUGAUUGGAUCAAUCAGACUCCCCCACAGGAAAUGCCAAGGGGCGCCCUUUCUCAUUAUCAUCUACCGCCCAUUUCUUCAUCAUCCGCUGCUGCCUUAAGUGCGUAAAGUAGGCUCAGCUUCUUAGGUUUAUAAAUAUCUUGUAGUAGCUGAAGGUAGUCCAGUCCGCUUGUUAGAUUGAAUUGAAUCUUAUAUAACCUACAUAGCUAAAGAGAAAAUCAUAAUAGUCUAAGUGGACCUCUCAAAGGUAUAAAUAAGUAGACAUUAGUCUUACUGGUUCGGUCUUUUUCUUUUUUUGUUAUGAUGCCCACAUUUCAUACUUCUCAAUUCUUAUUUAUUCAAGGGUUCGUAUGUACUGAGUGACUCUAGGUCUAUUCAGAUGCUGCUUCAAGAGAGCUUUAUUCCGCCUUUGUAUGACCGUCUUCCCUUCCUGUCUAUCUCCCCUUCGGUCAGGUAGUUCUGCUUCCGAUGCCGGAGGAGCAGGGUGGGAUAGAAGGGUAGUUUCUGAGUUUGAGAUGUCUGAGCUUGGAGGUUCCGCUUCUCUAAUGUGAUAAUAAAGCAACAAGCAACGCCGCUCCCGUGCGCUCAUCCCUUGCUUGUUCUUGAGCGCUAGUCAUUCAUCCCUAGCUGGGUUCUUGGGAUAUCUUGAUUCUCUUUAUGAUGAUGUAAGGGUCAGAUGAAUAAGGAAUCGAUCGGAAGUUCGCGCCAAUCUGCCGAAUAGGAAAGCGCCCUCAUCACUUUCCUCCGGGAGAAUGCCGACGUGUUCGCUUGGGAGCCGUCGGACCUUCCCGGAGUCCCUAGGGAGGUGAUUGAGCAUCGACUCGCGGUGCGCCCGGACGCCCGCCCCAUCAAGCAGAAGAUCCGCCGGCAAGCGCAGGAGUGCAAGGAUUUCAUCAAGCAAGAGGUGGACAAGCUCAAGGCUGCGGGGGCUAUCAAGGAAGUUCUGUACCCCACUUGGUUAGCUACCCUGUAGUAGUACCCAAGGCGGGAAAUAAGCUUCGCAUGUGUGUAGAUUUAACUGAUCUUAACCGUGCGUGUCCCAAGGAUCCUUUCCCUGUACCCCGUAUCGAUCAAAUAGUUGAUUCCACUGCUGGUUGCGACUUGCUGAGCUUUUUAGAUGCUUUUUCCGGCUACCAUCAAAUUAAGAUGGCGGUCGAAGACGAGGAGAAAACAGCGUUCAUCACCCCGGUUGGCUGCUACUGUACACGUGCAUGCCUUUCGGGUUGAAGAACGCGGGCUCAACAUUCCAGCGCGCACUGCGAGUGUUUGGGACCCUAGCUAGGCCGCAACGUGGAGGCCUACAUGGACGAUAUCGUCAUCAAGUCGAAGCGCGGAGACUCGCUGAUUAAUGACCUGCGGGAAACGUUUGAUAACCUCCGCAGGAUCAAACUCAAGCUGAACCCUGAGAAGUGCACCUUUGGUGUAGACUCGGGCCAGCUUCUGGGUUUCUUGGUUUCGCACAGGGGGAUUCAAGCCAACCCACAGAAGAUAGAAGCUAUCGAGAAGAUGGAGGCUCCCCGCAAGGUGAAGGAUGUCCAGCGCCUCAACGGCUGCGUUGCCGCGCUGGGCCACUUCAUCUCAAGGUUGGGCGAACGCGCCCUACCUUUCUUCAAGGUGAUGUAGAAGAAGGGUCCGAUUGAGUGGACCCCCGAGGCCGAGGCGGCGUUCCAGGAUCUCAAGCUGUACCUGAAGUCACCACCCGUCCUCGUCGCCCCCAAGCCGAGCGAGCCGCUGCUACUCUACCUAGUAGCGACUGACCAGGUGGUCAGCUCGGUGCUAGUUGCCGAAAGGGAGGAAGACGUUCCGGGGACUGAGGCUGCGGGACAGGGGGCAACCUCCUUGGACCCAGGGACCACCCUCGAGCCGGCAGCGUCGGCACCGCGCAAGCGGCUCAUGCAGCACCCGAUGUACUUCGUCAGCACGGUGCUGCGCGACGCCCAUACGAGGUACCCGCAGGUGCAGAAGCUCCUCCUGGGGAUUCUGCUCGCGUCCCGCAAGCUACGUCACUACUUCCAGGCGCACCGCGUCACGGUGGUGUCGGGGUUCUACCUUGAGCGAGCCCUCACCAACCGUGAAGCCACCGGGAGGGUGGCCGAGUGGAGGAUGGAGCUGUCGGAGUUUGAACUGCACUUCACCAACUCCAAGAGCAUCAAGAGUGCGGCCCUGGCAGACUUCGUCGCGGAGUGGACAUCAACGGGUGUAGAAGAGGAGGAGCCGGAGACCAGCCUGCCGAGCAAGCUGGACGAAGGCCACUGGAUCUUGUACUUCGACGGCGCAUUCAGCCUCCAGGGAGCUGGCGCUGGUGUCGUCAUCGAGUCACCGAUGAGAGAUUAGUUGAGGUUUGCUAUCCAACUCAAUUUCCCGAACUCCACUAACAACACGGCAGAGUACGAGGGUCUGCUCGCCGGGUUGCGGGCAGCAUUAGCCCUGGACAUCACGCGCCUGGUCGUUCGUGGGGACUCCCAGCCUGUGAUCAAUCAGGUUAACAAGGACUACGACUGCCCGCAGAUGGCACCGUACGUGGAGGAAGUCCACAAGUUAGAACGCAAGUUCAAGGGUUUGCGAUUCGAGCACGUCAAGCAGAAGGACAACUUCGCGGCUGACGAGCUGUCCAAGAUGGCAGCAGAACGCCGGAAGCCUCCGCGGGGGUGUUCUGGCACAGGCAAGCUGCCCCCUCAGUCGCCCCCGAGCCAGCUGCCGGGGAAGCCCCUCCGGCAACCGAAGGAAACCCCGCAACAGCAGGGGUCCAUGCCGCUGACGUAGCGGCAUGCGAUGGCAGGCCUCCCUGGGCGGUGGAAAUCGCUCGCUACCUGAAGGGGGAGGCCCUCCCGGAAGACGACGUCGCCGCGGAGCGAGUGGCCUGGCGUGCCAAAAUGUACGCCAUGUUGGACGGGAACCUCUACCGCAGGCGUGCAAAUGGAGUCAAGCUCCUCUGCAUGCCCCAAGACGAAGGGCGCGCACUGUUGGAGGAGAUACAUCGAGGCACAUGCUCCCACCAUGUGGCCUCCCGGGCGCUGGCCGGCAAGGCGUUUCGGCAUGGUUUCUACUGGCCCACGGCCCUGGCCGAUGCGGAGCAGCUAGUGAAGACUUGUGAGGCGUGCCAGUUCCACGCAAAGAAGAGUAACCUGCAGGUCAUCCGGUCCUCGUGGCCAUUCGCGGUCUGGGGGCUGGACAUCGUCAGCAAGCUGCCGAGAGCGGUUGGCGGCUACGAGUACUUGCUCGUGGCCAUUGACAAAUUCUCCAACUGGGUGGAAGUGGAACCAGUGCGGAAGGUGACCGCCUAGGCGGCCAUCAAGUUCUUCAAGAGCAUUGUGUGCCGGUUUGGUGUGCCUAACGGCAUCAUCACCGACAACGGCACGCAAUUCACGAGCGCGGUGUUCCAGGCCUACUGUGAGGGCAUGGGCACCAGGAUACACUUUGCGUCCGUUGCUCACCCAAGGAGUAACGGGCAAGCGGAGCGAGCCAACGCGGAAGUGCUGCGGGGGCUCAAGAAGAGAACCUUUGACAAGCUCAAAGGCCACGGGAAGCACUGGGUCGAAGAACUCCAGCCCGUGCUGUGGUCAAUCAGGACCACACCUAGUCGGGCAACGGGCGAAACUCCUUUUGCCCUUGUCUACGGGGAUGAAGCGGUGCUGCCCCUCGAGCUCAAGCACGGAUCUCCCCGAGUACGCGCGUACGGCAACUCCAGCCAACAUGAGCAAAGGGUUGACGAUCUGAACUUCAUCGAAGAGCUUCGAUGCCGGGCUGCUGUGCGAGCCGCGCGCUACCAGCAGGGACUCCGUCGUUAUCACGACAGGCGAGUCCGUCCCCGGGGGCUCGAGAACGGAGACCUUGUCCUGCGCCGGAUACAAGGAACGAAGGCCGGGAACACGUUGACUCUGAAAUGGGAGGGCCCCUUCCGGGUAAUGCAGGUGACCAGGCCGGGGGCUGUCCGGCUGGAAACCGAAGAAGGCUUGCCGGUGCAAAAUAGCUGGAAUAUUGAGCACUUGCGCAAGUUCUACCCGUGAAGCGACGGAGCCCGACCCUCAGGUGAUGCCGCCGAUGCAUACCUCUCGAACUAAUGUAGCCGGGCAACCCCCGUGUGUAAACCACUAGUUACUGUGAAUAUAGAUAAGUGUUGUUUCCUAGAUUUUUAGUUGCCUCGUUUAUUUGCAUAUUCCUUUCACUUCUGUCUCCUGCUCUAGGUGCACAGAAGUCACUUUCCAUACUUGGUUGUGAGCAGGGGGCUGUCGGAGCCUCGAAAAUGUUAACCCGUUGCCGGAUCACUCCGGCACGGGGCAUGCAGUUGCCGGGCUUCCCGCAACGUGCAUCACGGCAUGCAGUUGCGGGGCUUCCCGCAACGUGCAUCACGGGACAUGCAGUUGCCGGGCUUCCCGCAACGUGCAUCACGCAAUUGCUGCGUCUGGGAAAUAAAAGGUGCUCACAUCCAAGUUUGGCAUCGACUCUUCUGUGUCCGGGGGCUGGGAGGCAGGAGAGUUAUCCAUACUGCUCUAGUUAUCCAUACUGCUCUAUGUUUUCAUGAAUUUCGAAUUUUUUUUGCAGCAUCUAGUGCUUGGUAACAAUCUAAUGUGCAGGGUAAAGGUGGAAUCUUGCGCACUGUAAUGCUCGUGGACCGCCCACGGGUCAAGGCGUGUAGCAGCGCCUUGUGGUGCGGAACGACCGCAUCACGAGGGACUCGCCGUACUUUGAGGCCCCUGAUUCAGGAGGAAGCCGCCACGUGUGCCACAGCAACUUGGCAUGCGGUGUGGCGAAGGCCGUACCGUACUCCAAGAGGCGGGGCGCCCCGUAUGAUGCGUUGACCCGGCGCGUGUGGUGGCAUGCCCCCCCCCUCCCCCCGUGCCUAUAAAAGGGGCAUCCCGGCCAUGGAACAGCUCAGAGCGAAGCCAAGGAAGAGGCCGCAAAGGCGGGCGGUGCUGCAGAGGCGCGAUGGUGGUGCAUUCCAUCAACGCCCAGCGCCGAUGGGUGCAGCGCCGUCGCACUCUUGCCGCAUCCCUCUACCGAGCCCACUCUAAGGGGUGUCGCAGAGACAUGGUGGUGGUGCAUCCCACCAGCGCUCGGCGCCGGCGGGUGCACUGCCGCCCGUGUCCUUGCCACACCCCCUCUAGCGAGCGGCUCCGGGGCGAGGGUUGCCGCGGAGACAUUGUGGUGGUGCAUUCCAUCAGCACUCGGCGCUGACGGGUGCACUACCACAGUGCCCCUGCCGCAUCCCUCCAGAGAGUGUCUCUGCAAGGAGCGAGGAUUGCCGUGAAGACACUAUGGUGGUGCAUGCCAUCAGCGCUCAGCGCCGACGGGUGCACUGCCGUACCCCUCCAGAGGCGAGGGUCGUUGCGAGGACACUGUGAUGGCGCCGGUGCCGGCGUUCGCCGUUCGCUCCGGCCCACCACAGCGUCCCUGCUACGUCCCUCUGGCAGACUUUCCCCAAGCAGCGAGGGCUGCUGCGGGGACGCCGUGAUGUCUUCGCCACCCGCGUCUGCCGGUGGUGGCGAGGAUGUCACGGCGUCCCUACUGCACUCCUAGGAACAGGUUCCUCCGAAAGCAAGGGCUCUUCCAAAGGCAAGGGCUGCUGUGCAAACGCGGCGGUAGCAUCGUCAUCAGCGCUUGUCGCCGGCGGUGUUCCUGCCACUACGUUCCUGCCGCAUCCCUCAAACAGGCUCUCUCAAGGGCGGCGCACCAGGCGCACACCUCCGGCAAGCUUAUCGAACACGAGACCAAACGAAAAGAUAAGUGCUUGAACCUAAACGAUAGACUCUCUGAGAACUAAACGUAACUGAACGCUGCCUCGCCAAGUGUGGCCCCGAAACCUGCGUGUGGCCGGGGUGUUAGAAGGACGCUUGCGGGGGGAGUGCGCUCCCCGUGCGGCUUCCGGGUCCGUCCCGGGAGGGGAUGGCUUGGAGUAGUUACCCCGCAAGUGGAGUGGCUCGCCGCUGCUGCUUGACCCCAGGUCGGCACUGCUGGUCCGUCCCGGGUCCCUUGUGCGGUCAAGAGUGAGGCGCGCGAGUCCCCGGCAACACAAAGCACAACACACAAGGACGAAGGGAUCCACCCCGCGAGGCGGCCCCGGGAACAAGGAACAAGGAUUGAACAGAACUAAAAAGCUGGAUUAACAAAGUAGCGAACGAUUACAUGAACUAAUGAAUCGGUAAUUGUUCAAAUGGCGCCAAGCGCCAUGCUUGCAGGAACGAAAACAAAAGAAGGUAAACAAGGAAACAGCAAGGGCCGACAGGAGGCUGCGGCAGCUAGUGGCCGGCGUCUUCCGCUGGGGGCCCCGGGGACGGCUCAGGGUCCGGGUUCCGCUGCAUCCGCUGGACCACCUCGUCGACAAACCCGCUCACCGCCUGAGUGUGGGUGGGUUCGUCCUCGCUAUUCGACCAGGCGUCCAGCAGCGUCUCGAAGGGGAACUCCGGGUCCUGGAGGUGUACCCUCGGACGGAUCGUCCCGGCAACCUCCCGGGCGCAGUUGGCAACCUCCUUAGCGCCAAACUUGGCGAUCCAAACGUCGAGCGCCCCGAACUUCCCCACCAAGUCGGAGAAGAACAGGAUCAGCGUGGAGACAUCUAUGCCAUCCACCUCCGCGGCCUGCAGCUCGAACCGAGGCAGCAGGUCGCGUAGCGCUUGGGCGAUCUUGAGCAGCUUCUCGGUCUCCAGCUACCGUUGCCCGAUCAACGUGCCGUGGUGGAGUCGGGUGUCGAGCGUGGCCUUCUUGGCCUUUCGGAGGCGGCUCGCCAGCGACGCGAGCUCCGCAGCGUGGGUCGCGUUGUCCUCGCGGGCCUUGGCGAGCUCCUCCCGGACGGUGGCCAGCUCGGUCUCGAGUCGGGCCGAUUUGUCCUUGGCAGCGUUGAGCUCGAUCUCAUGCCGGGCUGCCGCGCCCACCGCGCUUUUGAUGACCUUGAUCUGCACCUCCAGCUUUACACACAGGCCUUGGAUCUCGCCGAGAUAGUUGGCGAUCAGAUCGUUCUUCUCAUCGAUCCGAGCCUGGGCCGCAGCAAGCACCUCAGCGUGCUCCUUCUUGGUUUCCACCUAAGCCGCCACCAGCGAAUCCAGAGCUUCCUGGAGCUCGGCGUGCUGAACCUCCAGUCGCCGGUAGAGCUCCUCUUCUGGGACGACCGGUGUGGCAGCAUCCUCCAGGGCUUCCUGGGCAAGGUGCACCUCCUCCCUGGUGAGGCACGUCUCUUCCCACAGCCGGGAGAGCUCCUGCCGCUCCUUCUCCACGGCCUGCCGCAGCUCGCCCAGCUGGCUCUUGGCGAUCACGUGGUGCUCCCUCACCUCGUUGAAGGAGGUGACGAAGGCCAGCUGCUGGUCCUUGACAGUGUCAAGGAACCGGUGCCCCCGGUCGAAGACGCUCGGAUCCCAGGUGAUGGGAUUCCAAGCCACCCCGGCAAGGGUGCCGAGGUCGGUGUUGAAGGUAGCGGCCGCCGCCGACGAAGCCCUCGCCGCCACCGUAUAGCUGCGGGGGGGGGGGGGGGUCGUUUGCUUGCGGCGAAGCAUGCUGUUGCUCCCCCUCCGCAACCUCCCCAUCGCCCGCGCCCGGGGACUAUGGGGCUGGUGAGGUUGCCGCGCCCCCGGUGGCGUCUGCGGCCGCUGGCGCGUCACCAGACACCGUCCCGGUGGCGGCGGUGGUCGCCGCUGCCGCUGCGGCGGGCGUAGCAGGGCUUGGCGUGAGGACUGCCUCCGGCUCCCCCGCCGUCCCCGUAACCUCGACGUCGGAGUCAAGGUCGACCACCAUAACGCCCGCUUCUGGUGCGGGCGCGCUUGGGCCUGCAACACCGAGAAGUAUGAGAAGUGGGAAGCUAAACGAGUUGCCUGGGGGCAGGUGCGGGGGCUCUGGAUGAUUACCUUGCAGGGCCGUUGGGCUUUCGGGGGGAGUCCCCCCUCCUCCUCCGUCCCGGCAGGAGUCUCCGGGAGGAUUGCUGCGUGCGGAGCGUCGCCUGUGGAAAGAGAAGGUACAGUUGAAGGAUUAACCGACAAACGGAAAUGCAGGUAAGGAAGCAGAAGGGAGCUGUACCUAUUGCCGGCGCUACCUCCAUUGGGGCUGGGUCGCCGGUAGGUGCAGCGGCGACGCUGCGGGCCCCUGUGCUGGUCGGGUCGGCGACGCUGCUGGCGUCCGUGCGCGCCUUCUUGCUCGGCGCGGCAGGCGGGGAAUCGUCCCUCCCCCUCUUGCCGACGAAUCGGCCUUCGGGGGGUUGCGCCGGAGUGCGAAGCCCCGGAAGACCCCCUGAGCGGGCGGAACCGUGGGUGCCCGUGGGGUUGCCGCGGCCCGGGGCACUGCGGGGACCGUUGAAGGUGCCGCCGCAGCGUCAGGGGCCAUCGCUGGUGUGGCGGCCGCCGUGGCUCCGGCAGCUGCUCUUGAGGCAGCCGUCGCGGGCGCGGGCGGUCGCUGCCGGGGUGGUCACCGCCGUGGCUCCGGCAACCCCUGCGGGGGUGGUUGCCGCUGAGGUGCGGGCGGACGCCCCCAAGGCGGCCGCCGUCGCGGAGCGGGUACCCGCCGCAGGGGCGGAUGCCGCCGCAGCCACCAUGGAGGUAGCCGCGUCCGCUGUGUGCGCCCUUGAUCUGCGGACGAUCCGGGGCGCGUCGUCGCUGUCCUCCUCUUCGUCGCCGACGGGGACGACUACCCGGGACGCGGCAGGCUGGCCCGCCUCGUCGUCUGAGGAUGGAAGGGAGGGCCAGCUGAUGUCUGACUCACGCCCGCUCUCCUCAAGCACCUGCUUCCCGCGAGGUGCAGGCAGAGGAGCAUGUGGGGUCCGAGUGGGGGAGUCAUCCAUCAGCCCCCACUCGUUGCAGGGCGGGAAGGAGGCAAACGAUGUCGUUCAGCCCCGGAACGCCGACGUGGAGGGAGAUAACCCCCGGCGGAAACCCGUGGCAGGGACGUCCUCGCCGGAGAUCCCCUUCACCCACACCUGGAGAGAUUCCCGGUCCACACCCUCGCGGUGGAGGCGUGUUCUGUCUCCGGACCCCGUGUACAUCCACGCGGUGCGGGAGCGCAGUUGGAGCGGCGCGACUCGCCGGCUGAUGAAGGUUCGCGCCACAUCAACUUCGGUGAGCCUCGCUAGCCGCAAGGCCUUGAUCUUCUCCACGAUGGGGAGGAGAUCGGCGUCACGGUGGUACCGGUCCCGCUACCGCCGUUUUGUUGCGGCAGCUCGGUGGGCGAGAGGAUGAACUCCUCGGGGUCUUGCACCCGGAGCCAACACCAGUCGCCCCGCCAUUCCUUCUCGAUCUUCUUUUCCGACCGGACGAUGAACUCAGACUUCAUCUGGUCGCGGGCGCGGAACACCACCCCCGACGACAUCGCAUUCGCGUUAUCGAUCCGGGGGUAGAAGUAGUGCCGGAACAGUGCCACCGACGGCAUUACUCCGACGAACGCUUGGCAGAGGAACUAGAAGGUGGCGAGGAGAUAGAGGGACAUGGGGUGGAGCUGCGCCACCCGCAGCUGGUACGACUCCAUGAGCGCAUGGAGGAACAGGGAGAAGGGCGGCACCAGUCCUGUGAGGAUGAAGCACCUGAAGUCCCCGUGCUUGUUGAACCCGGAGGCAACAGCGUGCCGGAUCUUGGCCAGCGCCUCGCCGUUGUAGCUGGACCGGUAGAAGGCGAGCGUGGCCCUCAUCGCCCGCUUCUUCUGAUCUUUGUCCGCGGCGGCCUUGGCGGCCGCCUCGCUCUUGCUGGCCGCCGCUUUCUUUGGGGUCCCUUCCUUUCCCUUCCUGGUGGUGGGGGGUGCCAUGGGGAGCGAGUGCGGAAGCUAGCAAGGCUCUUGGGCGCAAGAUGCAAAAAGUUGGAGGAAGAAGGCUGGGGGGCUAAGUGUUUGCCCCUCAGCGCAGCAGUAAAAGCUUUAUAACACUCCGUCGUUCGGUAUCGGCUGUUUCAGUGCGCUGGGAUAAUUACAAAUCAGAGAGAUAAUGCGAAGAGUGGCCUUAACUUCCCUGUUUAAGGGGGAGGUUACGGCAGAAAUCUCGCACCCACUACUUCGUUCUUAACGGCGGGGUACUUGGGACGGCGAAGAGAAGUGGGCGCGAGGCGAGUCGGGACCCACGCGUCGGUGGGGGCGUAGCCUGGCAACCGACGAGGGAAGGGUUCGCCCGGGAACGGGUGUUGCCGGCCCACGCCCGGGGGCUACUGUCGCACCCGUGGCACCCGGGGUGCCACCGCUGCACGACGCGUGGGUCGCAUCGCUGGGUUCCAGGAAGGAUCUCACCCCGGGCGGCAACGUGCAGGCUGCCCGGCAAGCUACCAGCCCGGAAAGGCUAGCGGGGCUUUGGGGAAUAAUCCUGCCUGGGCACCUCCCGGGAAGGCACUUGCCGGGAGAAAGCGUUCCCGGGCGUAGGCGUCUGCCGUGAGGGCGGGGCCAAGCGAACAGAGCAGCAACGCCACGUGGGCACGCGGUAGGCGCCCAGUGUGCAGUGUCGCCAGGACAAGGAGUGAAGCGCACGGCGCAUUUAAUGACCCAACAGGAGGGGGGUUACCCGUCUAGUCAGGCAAACAGUGGUUGGCCAGGGCUAGUUUUUAGGCCUUAGACCCCUAGCCGCAGGGUUGGCGCUCAUGCAUGCAUGCCAGCGCACCGAGGAGGAGCUGCCCAAGCUCCUUGCUCGCCACUUGUAAACCAUGCACCGUGGCACCUGUGGUAUCCCCUUGACUAUAAAAGGAGGACCCCCGCCUACGGUCAAAGGGUUGGUGCUUUUAGUUGGUUGGUUUUUCAGUUAGUUCAGUCUUGGGUUGGUUCGUUCAUUUGACCAACAAGCAGUUCACCACUGGUAGUAGCUAAAAAUAGCAAGGAACACUUAGCCAAAAAGAGAGCACCCGGGGACCCUUCCCCGGCAACUUGUAAACCUUCUGUCUUACGAUAACACAAGCUCAGACAAACAUGACGUAGAGUUUUACAUCUCUGGGUGGCCCGAACCUGGGUAAAAAGCGUGUGCAUUCGAGUUCAUUGCAUUCUUGCGCUUUGCACUGGCCUCGCCGGCGAUCGCCGGAGCGAUCCCCGUAGCCCACUGCCGAACCUAAAAGGGGGUGCCCGCGCACCCCGGUGCGGAGCCCUGUGCGACGACAAUUUCUUAAUUACAUGUGUUAUUUUCUACUUAGCCAAGUGUCCACGCGUUGCUGCGUAAUUUACUAUAUUAUAUUAUUUUAUUUUAUAAAUAGUUUUACGUAAGAAAUCUGUCUUUCUUUCAUUUUUGGAUAUUUUCUCGUUAUUGGGCCUUAAUGUGCAUAUACAUAACGACUGUAAUAAUUGUACUUUAUUAAUUUUUCGGAUAGUGGGCCUAUUUUUUGAAUCAAGAGAUUAUAUUAGAUUUUAUGAUUGGAGGGUAGGCUAAUUGUGCAAUGUGUGGACAGUAUGGGUGUAUUUGGUUGGUGUACCAUCCAGCCCUAUCAAAUGAGGGCAAAAAUUGGCUUGCCACAUCUGGCUAAGGAUUUGCCAACUCUCAUUUUGCUAAUUAUUUGGCAAGAAUGUGUGAGAGAGAUGGGAUGGCUCAUGUUGGCAACCAAAAUGUUGGCAACACAUCAAAAACUUCUCCUUUCCGUUUCUAAAUUCUUGUCGUUGUUAAUUUUAGUACAAAUUUGAAGAGAACAACAACAAUUUAGGACUGAAGUGAGGACAAAAACACUAUUUGUUGGCAAUUUUUGACCUGACUAGUGUUGGUACCCAAUCAAACACACCCUACUUACCAUCAUUACCAACUCUAAAUUAGUAUAUAGUAUAAAAUGUAUAAAUAUAUAAAGAUAAAGAUAUCAAAGAUUACUUAUGUACUCCCUCCGAUCUUAAAUUUUUAAAUUUUUGUCGUUGUUUUAGUUCAAGUUAAGCCACGACAAGAAUUUAGGAUUCGAGGGAGUAGUGCAGUGUCCUGCAUUGCUAAGAAAUCACGCGGUUUAGCGUGUGUGCAGUUUUUGUCAAUGUCAUCAUAUGCAACUUUUGUCUCCGUUCAACUUGCGCAAUUGAGUGUUUGGAUUUAGUCUGCACACAACUCACAGCGUGCUAAGUGCCAACCACGUGAGACUCUAAACUGUUCCCUUCGUUCCAUAAUUCUUGUCGAAACAUUACAUGUAUCUAGACCUUUUUCUAGGAAUAGAUACAUAUAUAUUUGGACAAAUUUGAGACUAGAAUUAUGAAACGGAGGAAGUAAUAGAUAGUGUGCCUUUGGUUGCACAUUGUGGCUCUCUUUACUCAUGGUAGUUGUCACUCCUUCAGUAGCCUGUUUUGACCGCUUUUUUUUUACCGCACUUCUUCUGUCGCCUUUGUCCUAGUCAAUAUAGCCAUUGUGAUGAGGAUGAGGUCGAAAGUACUGAGUUUAAGUCCAUACUACUGAGUUACUCGAGGAUUACAAAAUCUAUGAUGCAAUCACUAGUUUUGGCUUUUGGUUUUGACAUUGUUUUGAGACCUCGGUCUCUUGUACAUAUACUUCGAGCAGGUUUCCUGACAUGUGUGCAUGACUACCCGGCGAAUGGGAACUCAUCAUGCCAGUCAACACAUGGGUACAAAGCGUGCACAAAGUGUGGGGAUGAGACAGAAGGGUUGUUCCUGCCAGAAUCAAAAAAGAUUGUGUACAUGGGACACCGUAAGUGGCUGGAGAUGAAGGACCCGUGGAGGGAUGAUAAGAAAAACUUCAACGGGAGGGCAGAGAGGCGGCACAAGCUGAGGGAACUGGGACACGAAGUAUACGAAAUUGUCAGGGACCUCAAAGUCAUGGCCGGGAAAGCACAGCCGGCUGCAGGUCCAGAUGGCGGCCUUACGUACAAGAGGAGGUCCGUGUUCUGGGACUUGCCUUACUAGAGGUUCUUACAGAGCCGUCACACCAUAGACGUCAUGCAUGUCGAAAAGAACGUGUGCGACAGCCUGUUGGGCUUGAUGAUGCACCACGCGGACAAGUCAAAAGAUGGACCAAAGGCACGGAAUGACCUGCAGUGGAUGGGGAUAAGGGAGAAGCUGUGGCCGAUAGAGGAAGAGGCGCCUCAGGAAAACAAGGAUGGUGAACGCACGAUAUAUACGCGAUGCAAACCUGCGUGUUACAGUCUGAGCAAAGCCGAGCUGCAUAGAAUGUGCGAGUGUCUCCAUGGCAUCAAAGUUCCAUCGAACUACUCAUCCAGCAUCAAGAAACUCGUUGACAUGAAGAGCCACAAGCUGGUUGGCAUGAAGUCUCAUGACUGCCAUGUGAUUCUCACGCAGCUACUUCCGGUUGCAAUAAGAGGCUGCAUGGAGCCACGGGUGACAGAGACGGUCAUGAAACUAUGUGACUUCUUCGACACGAUCGGCCAGAAGUCCAUCACGGUGGACUGUUGCCUGCAACUGAGGGACGCAAUGAUACAGAUAUUGUGCGAAUGUGAGAUGUUCUUUCCCCCAACGUUCUUCGACAUUAUGGUCCAUCUGAUGGUCCACGUCGCCGAUGAGAUCUUGUUGUUAGGGCCAUCGUUCCUGCACAACAUGUUUGGGCCCGAACGAUACAACGGGGUGCUGAAGCGAUAUGUUUGUAACAGAGGGCGUCCCAAAGGAAGCAUCAUGGAAGGCUAUCAUGCAGAAGAGUGCGUUGAGUUCUUCACUGAUUGGUUGGCGGACCGCAAACCCAUAGGGGUCCCCGAAUCACGACAUAAGGGGAAGCCAGAAGGUGAAGGUCGGCUUGGCCGGAAGGAGCUUGAUGUGCAUGCCCGCCAAAGAAUGGACGACUUUAUAAGAGCACACACAAUGGUCCUGCAACUCACGCCAGAGGUCGAGCCAUUCAUUGACAUGCACAUCGAAGAACUUCGAAACCUCAACCCUAACAGGAAUGAUGAUUGGAUCCAGCGAAAACACAAUUCUACAUUCUCCAUGUGGCUCAAGGAUCUUUGGUAUCCGAGGGCUGCGGCGAAUGAAGAUGAGAAGAUUAUCCAGAAGUUGUCACGGCUUCCCGACCACAACGUUGUGACAUACCAGUCGUACGCAAUGAAUGGGUAUACGUAUUACACCAAGGCUCAAGACCGUAAGAAUACGUACCAAAAUAGCGGUAUAGUGUUCGUAGCUGAGACGGGGACCGACAGCGAAGGCCAGACUGAAGCGUACUACGGCGUUGUCGAAGAGAUCUAGGAGCUUGACUACACCCUCACCACAAUCGCCAUGUUUCGCAUUAGAUGGGCACGCGAUGUCAGGCAUGAAGAUCAUAGGUUCACAACAAUGAUUCUGCUAAAAGAGGUUCCCCGUCAUCAGGUGAACGUCAAAAGAAUCUCGGCAAUGCUUGAACCAUGGCAGUUUGCUUCCAAAUGCAAACAAGUCUUCUUCGUAGAAGACCCGAUAGCGAAAAACCGCGUAGUCGUGAGGAGAGGUAAAAAGAGCAUUGUUGGGGUCGACGGAGUAACUUCACAACAAGACUAUGAAGGUUUCCCUGACCCCACGACCAGGCAAGAAGAAGAGGUGGCAAGACGGACGACCCAGACAAGAAAGAAGUCAAAAUUAGCCACACAAGACAGGGCCUACGCCAGAAGCAGCCACGAUGAGGUCCAAACGUAUAAGAGGAAAGAGAAGACAAUAAACAAGAAAAACAAGAUUGUCCAAUAGUUCACUAUUUGUGUAAUUUUGAUCAAUUAUGCUCGUUGAUGAUUUUCAAUGUAGUUUGAAUUCUAACGAGGUUCGAAUCUUAACUUGUUCAAAUUUGAAAAAAAAUGCCGUAGAUUUGUUCGCUAUGCUCGUUGAUGAUUUUCAAUGUAAUUUGAAUUCUAACGAGGUUUGAAUCUUAACUUGUUCAAAUUUGAAGACAAAUGCCGUAAAUUUGUUCGCUAUGCUCGUUGAUGAUUUUCCACGUAAUUUGAAUUCUAACGAGGUUUGAAUCUUAACUUGUUCAAAUUUGAAAACAAAUGCCGUAAAUUUGUUCGCAAUAUUUUUGUACUGUGAGUGCAUAUUUUAUUUGCUUGUUUCAUUAUAAAGGAGAAAAAAAAAGUUUUUAAGCCCGCCCGGGUCAACUGAGCGUUUCGGGUUCGGGCCCAGCCAGGCGAACCCGGGAGCAGCCUACUACCUAGUAGGCCAGAGCGGACCCGGGCCCACGGGGCUGUUAUCCGAGCCCACAAAGAACAUUACAGGCACCGGGCCCACGGGCCAGGUGAGGAGCACAGAAGACAGGCGAGAGGAAUAUUCGGAAGCUGAUGGGAGAAGGGAUGAAAGCCUUAUAUGCUGGUCGAAUCGCUUGUAAACUAGCGAGGUGGGACUAAACUCCCACCUUGCCUCGCGUGGAGCCCGCGGAAGGACACCAGUGGCGGUUAUUACAAGGAAAUCCGCCACUCGAAGGAGUACCAGUGGCGGUUAUUACAAGAAACCCGCCACUGUUGUGAGCUACCAGAAAAGGAGGCAAAAAAGUUUUUUUAGCCCGCCCGGCCAACUAGGCUGUUUCGGGUUCAGGCCCAGCCCGGCGAGAACCCGGGAGCUGCCUACUACCUACUAGGCCAGAAGAGCACGGGCCCACAGGGCUAUAAUCCGAGCCCACUAGUGCACACAUAGGGUACCGGGCCCAUAGACCAGGCGAACGAGAGUAGAGGAGAGAGCAGCAUUUGAUUUUAUUCGGAAUCUGCAAAGGGAGGGGGAGGAAGCAAUUUAUGCUGGUCGAACCGCAAACUAGUGGCGGUGAUUACAGGUAAACCCGCCACCGAAAGCUGGCACCAGUGGCGGUGAUUUCGCUGAAACCCGCCACUGGUGAAUGCUACAGGACUUGGGAUUUCCCAAAUCUUGUCCAACUCACCAGUGGCGGUGAUUUUCCUGAAACUCGUCACUGGUAAUGAUUUCAGAAUGCACUAUUAUAAUCCUAUUAUAUUCUAUGCGUUCCAAAAAAUAUAGCAGUUGUACUUUUGGGUGUAUAGUAAUAUUGUUUGUUCCCAAUACAAGUUUUAGACAUUAAUUCAUAGUAUUUCAUACAAAUUUCUGUGAUUAUGUGUGGGUUUGGUGCUAAUUUAAUUCCAUAAAAUUCAAUUUUCAUCAAAAUGAGCUGAAACUUGGCAUGGGAACAUCUCUCAGUCUAAUGAAGCCACACGGAAAAAAUCAAGCCCAAAUUUAUUAUAAUGUUACAAUUUGGAUGUUGGCUUAGAAGGUACCAGAGAUAUCUACCUAGAUGAUCCCAAUAUGGUAUUCUUAUGGGCUUCAUUUGAAAUUUUGACACCAAAUUUCAUAUACAGGCAUAUUGUUGUGUGAGAAGCCUCCAUGCCAAAUAUCAGACCAUUCUGAGCAAUUUUGUAAUUUAUAACAAUUUUUAACCACAGUAAACAGUACAAAAGCAUAAAUAUUUCAAUUUCAGCAAUGUAUUUAGCAUUGAAAUCUUUAGUGAGAAAAGAAAUAAUUAUUAUACGCUUAAAAGUAUAGGUGCCAUAAUUUUUAGAGAGACAUAGAAUAUAAUACUAGAACCAAAAUACUAACCACUGGCGGGUAUAUACAAUAUCACCGCCACUGGUGCGUGGAACAGGGAUGUGGUUAACCCUCACUCCUGUUCCAAUUACCAGUGGCGGGGUUUUCAUAUACCCGCCACUGGUUGGUCACCACUGGCGGGUAUCCGGAAAUACCCGUCACCGGUGGUCUCCUGUACCAGUAACCCUAGGAAGGGUCUCCCGUGGCGGGUAUCCGCAAAAUACCCGUCACUGGAGACCCUCCCUAUAUGUAUUACAGGGCGAGACUUCACGAAAUUUUCGUAUUCGAGACGCGUGUCUUUCCCAGACCAGUAGCGCUCACGCCUCAAACCCUACGGCGAAGCCCUGCCCGACUCCGCCGCCACCGCCCUUCCCCGCCGUCGCCGCCAUGUCGCAGAACGACAAGACCGGGGGGUCGGAGCGGACGACGAGGAGCGGGAAGCCCCUCGCCCCGCAGCCCCCCCCCCCCCCAACGGCCGCCGGAUCCGGAUCCGGCGGCCCCGUCUGGCCGACGCCCGCCCCGCAUCGCCGGGGGCGCUGGGCCGCCUCGACGACGCUGCCUCCGCCCCGGCCGGCUCCGCCCCAACCCCAUCCACGACCCAGGCACCGACCCCGACCCCGGCCCAGACGACCCUCGCCGUCGCGGCCCCGACCCGGUAUGCUAUUUAGGGUUUAAUACUACUGUUUAGGGUUUAAUAUUGUUGUUUAGGGUUUAAUACUGUUGUUUAGGGUUUAAUAUUGUUGUUUAGGGUUUAAUAUUUCUGUUUAGGAUUUAAUUUAAAUCUUGUUGUUUAGGGUUUAAUAUUGCUGUUUAUGGUUUCAUAUUGCCAUUUAGGGUUUAAAUCUUUAUAUUGCUGCCUCUUGUUUAAAUAUUGUUGUUAUUGCUGCUCUUGGUGCAAAGAUUGAUACAUGCAUGUGAUCCCGACCAUCGUGUCGGUUGAUAUGAGGAAUGUGAGCCCGGCCAUCGUGCCGGGUCGCUGAGAAGGGUCCGGCCAUCGUGCCAAGGGGGUAGAUGUGGGUGGGAGUUUUUUUAUGCAGGUAUAACAUUCGAGUAGACUGUUUUGUUGUUUUACAGCAAUGGUCAUGCCGAAAUUUUCUUGUUUUAUAGCAUAGGUCAUGCCGAAUUUUUCCGUUUUUUUAAAUUACUUUUAUAAGUGUUGGAUAGGAACCUCAGGCUCGUGUUGAAGAGGUGCCUGAGCAGCCACCGGUUGUGGAGGGACAAGUCGAAGAAGAAGCGGGGGCAUCUUCCUCAGGCUCUGAAAUUGCCAUGAGCAAAGAAGGAGCCGAGGAGCAGCUGUUCCUUGAAGGAGCCGAGGAGCAGCUGCUCCUUGAAGGAGAAGCUAACGAGGAAGAAGCCCUGGGUGCGAUGUCUCAGGCUACGGAGUCGACUACUCAGUCGAAGUCCAAGCAGGGGGCGAAUAAGGUGCCGACGGAGUCGUGGGUUGUCACCAAGCUGAAUAAAGAAAACUACCCGGAGGAACCGGGGGAGGCUGCAGAAAGAUUCUCCAACACAUGCAACGCCAUCGUACGGGUACGCGCUUGGAUCUAUCAAAGAUGGAGCAAUGUCCCGGAAGCUGUGAAGCAGGACUGUUACGAGGCGGCAUGGAAGCGGUUCGUGCCUGCCAAUGAUGAGAUCAGGAAACGGUUGGAGUGGCAGAUGCACCAAGUCAUGAGGAAGGGCCAGAGCACGUGGCAAUAUAACUGCAGGAAGCUCAUCGACAAAGACUGGAAGAAAGAGGUUAACAAGCACUGGAAGGGAUCUCGGAGGAGGACUGGGGGAGGUUCAAGGUGUGGGUCAGGUCAGAUGAAUUCAAGGCCAGCCAAAAAUGGUACAAGGAGCUUCGUGAGAAAAUGCCCUUCGACCACCGCCUCGGCAGUCGUGGACGCCCCGGAAAGGAGAAGGUGUGGGCGAAGGAGGACGCCGCAUUGGACCAAGCCGGUAUACAGCCGAGAGUCCCAACUUUGCUUCGCGGUGAGCACUCCAGCAAAUGGCUGCGGUCAUCCAUGACCACAAAUCAGUGGGCGGGCCUGGAGCCUAUGUCAAAGAAGCAAGAGGCUGCACUCGUAAGGCCUUGUCCUGACAUCUUUUUUUAUCGGUUGGGCUUCUUAUACUCACAUAUAAGAUUAACACCGAGCAUGUUGUUUUUUGUAUACAGGGUGCAAUGGCAGAGUGGGAGUCGGAUGGCUCCCACUCAUCUAUCAACCAACAGUGGGAUGAUGCCAUCAGCUACGCUCUGCAACGAAAUGAGCACGGGGGCCAUAUGCGAGGUGUCGGUUCCGGGCCCUUUCGCAGGCAGAUGGCGAAAGAGCAAGGUUCCCGCAAACGCAGAAGGGUGUCCAGCAAAGAAUAGAGCUCAAAGGAAUUAGAUGAGAAGAUCUGGCUGUUGGCGAGGGAGGACCUCAGGAAGCUCAUGCGGCUUGCAAGGGACCAACGUGACGUCGACAACUUCAUCGAUCACGGUGUUUUCUUGCCGGCGCCCAUCCAACCAACCCCAACCACACCGGAUCCGUCCCCGCUACCCAAUAAGAGCACCUCAUGCUCCGGCAUCGAGUGCCAGCUUAACCCGCUUGGGCCACCCGACGAGAACCUCACGGUAAGCGUCUUCCCGCGCUACGAAAAAUUGUGAAAUACCACUAUCAAAUAAUAGCAGGAAUACAGCAGCACAAUAUACAACACCAAAGAAACAGAAUAGCAGCAAAUAUAUUACAAAGUUCCACACGAGUUAAACAUUCAAGUCACAUGCAUGUAUACAAAGUGUUUGAAAAAAUGAGCCACAAAUAAAAGUAUUCCACACAAUUUAGCCACUUUUGGCAACAAUCCCGCCGCCGUAGUAAUCCCCGCUCGAUUUGAGGACCUCCUUGUUGAGGAUUUCGCCGAUGUCCUUUUGGAUCUCGUACAUGAGAAUUUCUGAGUUGUGCCCUAACUCGGUGUUGGCCAGAAACCAAUUCCUCACUUCUUCGAAGGGCUUCUUCCCCUUCGGCUGGAAGUCGUUGAUGAAUUGUUGAAUAGUGUGCGUGCAGUAGUAACCGAAGUAGACGGAUCCUUCAGCCUGUUGCUCGCAGGGAAAGUUGAAAGUGUACCUGAGGGGAGCGUCAGGAUUGCGGCUGAAGCCAGUCACCCCGUACCAUUUCACCGCGUCGCGAUAGGCCGCAUCGAUGACAUAUUUGAUCGGCUCAAAGUCGCGUUGUGGUUCAUUCCCCUUGCGUCGCAGUGGAUCAAAAUAUGUGACCCCACCCAUAUUGAGGCAGAUGGCGAUUGUCACUCAAUGGCCACUGUUUCACAAAAGGACGCACAUUGUAUUAGCCAAAUAAUAUAACAAGCAAGUCUUCCGACGGAAAAAGAUUUAUGUAUUCACGCGAAUUGAAAACAACUUACUGUAGAUGGUACAAUAUCAAUACAAAAUGGCGGUCUUUGUGCUUCAAGAUGAAUUGAGUGAGGUAUUUAAUCACCAACCUUCUACUUUUAGCCAACAAUGGGUCUGGACCAAGCAAAGUGGCAUUGAAAAGAAGGGGGUCGGCGACGGCCAUCCCAUAUUGCUUCACCCUAUAUGCCUCCCUCGUGUAGUGUACACACCACAGUCUUAAUAUGGCGUUGUCGAGGCACUUGCGGUUGAAGAGGUGAAACAAGUCGAGGAAGUCAAUGCCGAAGCUAACGUCAUUUUCCUUCUUGAUUUCCCUCGUAUUGGAGUCGAAGAAGCCAUAAUGCUUUGGCACUCGAACCCUGAUUUCCAGAUUUGUGAGGUCUGCGCCUGAUGGUGCCACAUUCAUGUAUUUUUCAUGGAGCUCUUGCAUCUCCCGUGGCAGGCGAUACAGGUCAUCCUGGGAAACCAUCGGUUGUCCGGGGUGGAACAAAAAAAAUUGGGAGAAUCGCCUCUCCACGAAAUAAGACCCAUCAGGCAAUCUAUCUCCAACACGGGGGUGGAUGGGCAUCUUCAGAAUGUCUGGUCGCUCUUCCCAAAUCCCUUCUAUCUGCGGCGCUCUCUUUAGUUGUCUUCCUGUAGAAGACGACUCUUUCCCCUCCUUGGAGGAGCCCUUGCCUGCCUUGUCGCCUGUCCCCGUUUUGUUUUUCCUGCGUCUCAGGAAAUCGGAACUGUCCGGUUUCUGGGGGACCUGCAUCCCAGCAAGGGCACUUGGACGGCGCUCCAACGGGGCCGAUUGUGCUGCGGCUCUCCGAGGGACGGGUCUUGGUGUAGAUGGCUUCGGGGCUUCGGGUUUGGGCGACGACGGAGGAUUUUGGCCUGCAUUGUCGUCGCUACACUCCGCCGCAGGUGAGAAGUCUCGUUCCGUGGGCUCGUAGUCCAAAGGACCGGGUGAGGCGCCAAGCAGCGACGGAGACGUCAGGCGCCGGGCGGGUGGAGACAGACCGAGCCGGGGCAACGGAGAUGCAGACGGCUCCGUAGCGAGGACCACCAACCUCCUAGGCCAGAUGAGGUAGGAGUUGACGCAAUCCCUUAGGGUCGUCGCCUCUUCGUGCGGAGGAUAAGGGACCGGUUUGUCCUCGAAGCCCUUGAGCACGAAGUCCACCUGCACCCUGACCAUGUCGUCUCGCAGGGUCACGUGGUGUACCACGGCCGUACGCGGCAUCAGCAACCCGCACACGCCAGAGGAUUCCUCACCGUCGGCAUGUGUAGCCGGCAUUUGAUGCCCUUCUGCGCAUGACAAACAUGGCAACAUCAUUAAUAGAUUGGAACAUGACAGUGGUAUUUCAUAAUUUUUCGUAGCGCGGGAAGACGCUUACCGUGAGGUUCUCGUCGGGUGGCCCAAGCGGGUUAAGCUGGCACUCGGUGCCGGAGCAUGUUGUUGUACCUAUACCUUUGCCCACGUCGGAAAUAUUUUAGACAUAGAUACAUUCAUAUUUGAGCAAAUUUGAGUCACUUGACAUGGGUAGGAGGAAGCAGCCGUACAAUAUUUGUUUGUUCCUCGUUAAUUAAUAACCGGGUCAAUAAAAAUUGAAGAAAGCAUAUGUAAUGGGACGCAUUGUGUCCUCAACUCAAAGCGGAGCGAGCGACUGAAUAAAGAUCCCAUCCAGUUUCUCCGUAGCCAUCACGCUCCUGCGCGGCGGCCGCCGCCUUGACAGAGGAGGACCUCCUUCUUGUGCCGAUUUUCCUCGCCGGGGCCGUCCCAGCCGCCGUGGGACGCGCCCUUCAUCACGGGCCCCAAGCGCCUGCCGUACGGUUCCUACACCUCUCUUUAGUCUUCGACGGAAUUGCUGCGAAACAGGGAGAGGUUCGCCACUUCCCCGGAAUUUUACUUGAUCCUUUGGUUGUACUGGAGUAGCAUCUUAGGAAUUUGCUUCUAUCCUACUCCGUAGUACCUUGCAAGCUCCGGAGUAGCAAUGCCUGAAUUUUGAGGAACGUCUAAGGAGCUUUUGUUCUAUGUGUAAGUACAGAAAGUCAGAAAGGAUUGUCCUCAAUGAAAUCGAACCCAUUUACUACCUCCGAUCCAUUCAACAUUUUGGUACGAUUUUCAGAUUCUUUUGCUGUUCCUGAGAACAGUGCGUUUGUUGUUUUACUCGCUAAUUACUAGCUCUAGAUAUCGGGGGCUGUCCUUUUCUAUAUGCAUUUAUGGAGUGGGGGACUGUUUUUUUUUUCGAAACGGAGGAGUGGGGGACUGUUUCAGAUACAGUAUGACACAUAAGUAGGGCGGCUAAACAGCUGGAGUACAAAAAGGAAGAGCGAACGAAAUUUCAGGGUCGACAUGUGACCUAUAAACGAUUCAGUGUGUGUGCCUUCUGGUUCUAGCAUUAUUGGUGGGGUCAAAAGGUUUGACAGCGGGAACAAGUGGCAAUAUGGAGUCCCUGAUUGAUUUCAGUAGUAACUACCUAAGUGCACAUAAAUUGAUCAAGAAGAGAUAAAAUGGCAAACUUAUCCUGGUCGGGCAUGUAUUCUUAGCUGUCCCAUUUCACUUUAGUUCAUCUGGUAGUUAUGUUGUCAGUUGUGUUGAACUUGGCUGUCAAGCUGCCUCUUUGGUCUCCCAUGAGUUCCUUUUAGUCCAGGCAUGUUCAACUUGGCUACCAAGCUACUGACUCUGUUUCCUCCCAGUUUCUGAAGAGCAUCUAUAACGUUGAUGAAGUUGACUGAUAUAUUCUUCCUCGUACAUGUUAAAUAGCCCAUUCACUUCACUUGUAAACAUCUAAGCAGACUGUAAAGUUUCAAGUAUGGUGCCAAGCAUGGAGGAGCCUCUUGUUCGGAGCAGCACUGAGAAGACAAGAGGGCCAGGCGACAGCCUUCUGGUGACUGAGGUCAAGAAGCAGCUUUACCUUGCUGGUCCUCUCAUCGCCGGAAGCCUCCUGCAGAACGUCGUCCAGAUGAUAUCUGUCAUGUUUGUUGGUCAUCUCGGCGAGCUCGCUCUCUCCAGUGCCUCCAUCGCCACAUCCUUUGCCGGUGUCACCGGCUUCAGCUUGCUGGUAUAUUAACUAUUUCAGGCUAGCAUGUCGAGCAGCUUGGACUCACUGUGUUUGAUCUCCUUAACAGAAACUUGAAUAUGUGUUCAUAACUAUUUUAGGCAGGCAUGUCGAGCAGCUUGGACACACUGUAUGGGCAAGCCUUCGGAGCAAAGCAGUACCAUCUUCUUGGUAUCUACAAGCAGAGAGCAAUCUUUGUGCUCACUCUGGUGAGUGUUGUGGUUGCUGUAAUCUGGGCGUACACCGGCCAGAUCCUUCUGUUCUUCGGCCUGGACCCAGAAAUUGCCAUGGGAGCAGGGACCUACAUCCGUUGGUUGAUUCCAGCAUUGUUUGUGUAUGGACCGCUUCAGUGCCAUGUCCGGUUCCUGCAGACGCAAAACAUUGUACUCCCAGUGAUGCUGAGCGCAGGUGUCAUGGCGCUGAGCCAUGUCCUGGUUUGCUGGCUGCUGGUUUACAAGCUUGGCCUGGGCAACAGUGGUGCUGCCUUGGCCAAUACCAUCUCUUACCUGGCCAAUUUUUUAGUCUGCUCUCUAUGUCAGGUUCUCUCAAUCUUGUAAGAACACAUGGACAGGGUUAUCAACGGAGGCAUUUCAUGACAUCCUUAGUUUCUUGAGGCUCGCCGUUCCAUCUGCUCUGAUGGUUUGGUGAGUGUGAGUUGAGCCUUCUAAUAGCAGGCAGAGUUAUUUGUGUUUCAUUUGCAGUUGAUUUUAUCCUGCAUUUUCACAGCUUGGAGUGGUGGUCAUUCGAGCUCAUGGUACUUCUUUCAGGAUUUCUGCCAAAUCCUAAGCUCGAGGCGUCAGUAUUGUCCAUCAGGUGAGCAUAUUCAUUGCGUAUUUCAUAUUUGGUUUCCUUUUUUUUAUAGUAACAGUUGAAUUUCCUGCAGUUUAAACACGGUUGCAUUAGUAUUCAGGAUCCCCUCUGGGCUUGGUGCGGCUAUAAGGUCAGAUUGAACAAGGCAAUCUUGUAAACCAUUACUAUGCCAAAAUGUUUAUCCAUAAUACUUUUGGCAUAACCAUUGUCAUCUCACCCCAAAAAAGUUGAUAUCCAUUAUCUCAUCUUUGUAGCACCCGUGUGUCAAAUGAGCUUGGUGCGGGGCGACCGCAUGCUGCCCGUCUAGCCACUCGUGUGAUCAUGGCCCUGGGAAUCGUGUCAGGUGUAUCAGUUGGGCUUCUUAUGAUUUUAGUGCGCAAUUUAUGGGGGUAUGCAUACAGCAAUGAGGAGGAAGUGGUUGAGUACGUUGCCAGAAUUAUGCCCAUUCUUGCCGUGACAUUCUUGUUUGAUGACCUGCAGUGCGUUCUUUCAGGUAAAUAUAGAUACCUCUAAAAUCAAAUUUGGUGAUUAAAUGGAGCCUAUUUUUGUGCUUGAAUUAUGUUUACCCCAAAAUAGUUGUCGUUUCUAUUGAAUAUUAUCCCCAAACAUACUGACUGGCAAUUCGGGAUACUCUGAGUCUGAUAUUCUUUUUCCAGGUAUUGUUAGGGGUUGUGGCUUCCAAAAGAUUGGCGCUUUCGUCAAUCUCAGUGCAUACUAUCUUGUCGGCAUUCCGGCAGCUUUAUGUUUUGCCUUUCUCUACCACUUCAGUGGAAUGGUAUUAAUUUAGUACCCUUACCACAUAAAACUUCUUAUUUCACUUAUAUUUCUCAUCCCAGACCUCUAAAAUGUGUUUGAACUGGUAGGGACUGUGGCUCGGAAUAAUCUGCGGGCUUGUUGUGCAGAUGCUAUUGCUCUUGUUCAUUACCUUGUCCACCAACUGGGAGAAAGAAGUAAGGAAACUAACAAACUAUUAUGGCACACAAUUUUUGUUCCGACGUCUUCUAGUGAUUUUAAUUUGUGGCCGAUUAUCUGUCUUGUUGCUUUGGUAGGCUUUAAAGGCGAAGAACAGAGUUUUUAGUUCGUCCCUACCUGCGGACUUGAUGACAUGAGACGCGCAUGAUGCACAAUUUUCUUGGGAAAUUUGUCCAGGAAUGUGCAGGGAGACAAGGAACCCAUGAAGAAUUGGGCUCUAAGAAAAGUGCUUCGAUCCACCAGCUGGUACUUUCUUCAACGAAACGUCUGCAAAUGAGCUCCCUACCCAGCACGGCACUUGAUAAGGGAAUAAAAUGUUGUUUUACUAGAAUCAACCUUAUUGAUCCAGAAUUUCCGUGGAGGAUUUACUAGACUAUUUCUUCGUAAAAGAAUAGAAUGGCAAAGAAAGGAGCUAGGUUCGCUUGCCUGUCAGAAUUGCAUAUGCUUGGUUCUCCUACUGUAACGCUAGGUUUACUCGUAGCCUAGGAAGGGAAACGGUCAAAUGUUCAUUGAAACAUGAAGAGAUGAUAAACUUUGUAGAAAUGUUCUUCGGACAAAAAGGAAGUGAUGAUAUCAUUGAAGAAGGGAAUAGAUCUGCUACUUUUGGAUCUUAUGCUAAUGGAGCUCUUGGUCCUGUGGGUUUUCUUUACUGUUCUACUCCCUCCGUCCCAUACUAAGUGACGAAAUAUUACAUGUAUUUAGAUGCUUUUUGAGUAUAGAUACAUCCAUAUUUUGGCAAAUUUGAGUCACUUAUUAUGGCACGGAGGGAGUAUCAAAAGUUUGGGCCACUUAUUUAGAAUUAUUAUAUGGCGCUGGUUAGAGCGUCUGAAACUUUGAACAAGGUCGAUUAGAUGUCUCCACCUUGUUACCUUGAUCCCUAGGAACCAGAUGCAUACGAAAUGGAGAAAUUUGGGCCAUUCAGCUUAGAGAACUGUAUUUUUUUUUUAAAUAUAUAUUAUUUUUUCUUUUUUUUUACAAAUCAUUGACUAGCAGGCUCUCUCUUGUGGGGAGACUCAUAUCCUCUAAUCAAACAGCUUUUCAGUCUAGCAUUUUCAGAAGCUCCCGAAUAGCCUCGUCUGAUUUUGAACAUCUUGCGAGUUUUUGCUCGAUGCGUAUCCGUCUUAUUAUAGGAAUAGACUGGUGGCUUUUGGUUGUUUCGAUCUAUGUAUACAUUUUUUUAGGCUUGUUAAUAAAUCAAUAAAUAUGGUUGUGUGCAUUAUUUUGUUACAGAGGUCGGGAUUUCAACCUUUUAAAAAAAAAUAGUGUUAGCUACGAGAAUAUCUACGUCUGUAGCUUUCGUCGUGUUGAAUAGUAUACUGGAUGUUCUGGUCCGGAUUAAGCUUGGAACCUUGGAUUCAACUUUUUCCGUCAGAUAAGGCUAUUAUGUCAGAUGCGUUGCACUUGACUGCCAAGCUUCCUCCUUUGUCUCACAUGAGAUCCUUUAGUCCCAAUUCCUUUCAGGCAUGCUGAAAUUGACUGGAUGAGGCACGCCAAACUUUGUUGGCAAGCAAGCUACUCCUUCACUAUAACUGUUUCCUGUCGGUUUUCAUAUGGAAUUUGUCACCAUAUUUGCAGGCCCAUCCCCAUAUAAUAUUUGAUGAAGUUGAUCGGUAGUAUAGUCUUCAGCACACAUGAUAAAUAUCCCUUCAGUUCACUUGCAAACGCAUGCCUUUGUUCAGAAGCAAAGUGAGAGGUUUCAUCCUUUCAGGCAUGGAGGAGCCCCUUGCUGGUGGCAACGCUGAGAAAACGAGAGGGCUGCUAAGACAGAGCCUGGUAGCGACCGAGGUGAAGAAGCAGCUGUACCUUGCCGGGCCUCUCAGCGCCGGAUGCCUCCUGCAGAACGUCGUCCAGAUGAUAUCGGUCAUGUUCCUAAGAUGAGCUUGUCCUCAUCUUAGGAGCUUCUGUUCUGCUUUUUUUUUUUUUGAAAAGGAGCUUUUGCUCUGUAUGUACGUAGAAAUAAGAAGGAUGUCUUGAAUGGAAUCUCUUCCAUUUUCUAGCUCCGAUCCAUUCGACAAUUUAUCAUGAUUUUCAGAUUACUUGGUGACCACCACCGAGCGCUUGUAGUUCGACUCACUAAUUAAAUCUCAGGAACUUUUUCAGAUACAGUAUGACACAUAAGAGGGCAGCCAAACAGUAGGAGUUCAAAACGGAAAAACAAACGAGAUUUGAGGGGCAACAUGUCACCUAUAAACGAUUCACAGUGUUUGUGCCUUCUGGUUCUAGUAUUCUUAGCUUCCACAAUUCACUUUAGUUCGUCUGGUAAUUAUUUUGUCAGUAGUGUGAACUUGGCUGCCAAGCUGUCUCUUUUGUCUCCCAUGUGUUUCUUUUUAGUCCACUAGACUGAAUAUUCUAACAUCUCAAUCAUGCUCAAAUUGACUGGUUGAGGCCUGUUCAACUUGGUUACCGAGUCUGACUCUGUUUCCUCGCAGUUUCUGAAGUCACCAUCUAUAUCGUUUGUGAAGUUGAUUGAUAUAUUCUUCCUCAUAUAUGUUAAAUAUCCCAUUCACUUCACUUGUAAACACCUAAACAGAUUCUGAAGUUUCAAGUAUGGUGCCAAGCAUGGAGGAGCCCCUUGUUGCGAGCAACACUGAGAAGACACAAGGGCCAGGACACAGCCUUGUGGUGAUUGAGGUCAAGAAGCAGCUUUACCUUGCUGGCCCUCUCAUCGCCGGAGGCCUCCUACAGAACGUCGUCCAGAUGAUAUCUGUCAUGUUUGUCGGUCAUCUCGGCGAGCUUGCUCUCUCCAGUGCCUCCAUCGCCACAUCCUUUGCCGGUGUCACCGGCUUCAGCUUGCUGGUAUAUUAUGACCUUACAUACGUUUGAUCUCCUUAACAAUUAACAGAAACUUGAAUAUGUGUUCAUAACUAUUUUAGGCAGGCAUGUCGAGCAGCUUGGACACACUGUGUGGGCAAGCCUUCGGAGCAAAGCAGUACCAUCUUCUUGGUAUCUACAAGCAGAGAGCAAUCUUUGUGCUCACUCUGGUGAGUGUUGUGGUUGCUGUAAUCUGGGCCUACACCGGCCAGAUCCUUCUGUUCUUCGGCCUGGACCCAGAAAUUGCCAUGGGAGCAGGGACUUACAUCCGGUGGUUGACUCCAGCAUUGUUUGUGUAUGGACCGCUUCAAUGCCAAAUCCGGUUCCUGCGGACACAAAACAUUGUCCUCCCAGUGAUGCUGAGCUCUGGUGUCAUGGCCCUGAGCCAUGUCCUGGUUUGCUGGUUGCUGGUUUACAAGCUUGGCCUGGGCAACAGUGGUGCUGCCUUGGCCAAUACCAUCUCUUACCUGGUCAAUUUUUUAGUCUUGGCUCUCUAUGUCAGGUUCUCUCAAUCUUGUAAGAACACAUGGACAGGGUUAUCAACGGAGGCAUUUCAUGACAUCCUUAGUUUCUUGAGGCUCGCCGUUCCAUCUGCUCUGAUGGUUUGGUGAGUGUAAGUUGAUCUGUCUAAUUGCAGGCAGAGUUAUUCGUGUUUCAUUUUCAAUUGAUUUCAUCCUACAUUUUCACAGUUUGGAGUGGUGGUCAUUCGACCUCAUGGUACUUCUUACUGGAUUUCUCCCAAAUCCUAAGCUCGAGGCGUCAGUAUUGUCCAUCAGGUGAAGAUAUGCAUGACUUAUAUUGUAUGGGGUUAAUUUGAUAUAUGCCACUGCAAUUCUUUCAAAUUUGGAAAAUUCCACUGCAGUUUGCGUCUUUCAGGAAAUGCCACGACAAUGGGUCAAAAGGUGCCAUUGCAGUUGCAUUUUUUCGAAGAUGAGAACUGCAGCGGCAGUUUUUGAAUUCGCAAGAGUUGCAGUGGCAUAUAGUAUCAACUAACCAUUUUUAUUUGGUUGCCUUUUUCUGGUAAUAACAAUUGACUCUCCUGCAGUUUAAAUACGGUUGUGUUAGUAUUCAGGAUCCCCUCUGGGCUUGGUGCAGCUAUAAGGUCAGAUUGAACAAGUCAAACUCGUAAACCUUUACCAUGCCAAAAUGUUUAUCCAUCAUACUUCUGGCAAUUAUACUGUUAUCUCAACCCACAAAAGGAUCGAUGAUAUCCUUUAUCUCACCUUUGUAGCACCCGUGUCGCAAAUGAGCUUGGUGCUGGGCGACCGCAUGCUGCCCGCCUAGCUACCCGUGUGAUCAUGGCCCUGGGUGUCGUGUCAGGCGUAUCACUCGGUCUUCUUGUGAUUUUAGUGCGCAAUUUGUGGGGUUAUGCAUACAGCAACGAGGAGGAAGUGGUGAAGUACGUUGCCAGAAUUAUGCCCAUUCUUGCCGUCACAUUCUUGUUUGAUGACCUGCAGUGUGUUCU